RNAcentral lists this ribosomal RNA (969 nucleotides) under Coleodictyospora muriformis. RNAcentral describes it as "SSU rRNA". It matches the Rfam family "Eukaryotic small subunit ribosomal RNA", at positions 93 to 1071 of the family's 1831-position model. The record is from RNAcentral. Lineage: Eukaryota; Fungi; Ascomycota.
AUGGCUCAUUAUAUAAGUUAUCGUUUAUUUGAUAUUGCCUAUCCUACAUGGAUAACAGUGGUAAUUCUAGAGCUAAUACAUGCUGAAAAUCCCAACUUCGGAAGGGACGUAUUUAUUAGAAUCAGAACCAAUGCCCUUCGGGGUUUUUUGGUGAAUCAUGAUAACUCCACAGAUCGCAUGGCCUUGCGCCGGCGAUGGCUCAUUCAAAUUUCUUCCCUAUCAACUUUCGACGGUACGGUCUUGGCCUACCGUGGUUGUAACGGGUGACGGAGGGUUAGGGCUCGACCCCGGAGAGGGAGCCGGAGGAACGGCUACCACAUCCAAGGAAGGCAGCAGGCGCGCAAAUUAUCCAAUCCCAACUCGGGGAGAUAGUGACAAUAAAUACCGAUACAGGGCUCUUUUGGGCCCUGUAAUUGGAAUGAGUACAAUUUAAACCUCUUAACGAGGAACAAUUGGAGGGCAAGUCUGGUGCCAGCAGCCGCGGUAAUUCCAGCUCCAAUAGCGUAUAUUAAAGUUGUUGUGGUUAAAAAGCUCGUAGUCGAACCUCGAGCCUGGCCGGCCGGUCCGCCUCACCGCGUGCACUGGUCUGGCCGGGCUCUUCCCUCUGCGGAACCUCAUGCCCUUUACUGGGUGUGUUGGGGAGGCAGGACUUUUACUUUGAAAAAAUUAGAGUGCUCAAGGCAGGCCAAUGCUCGAAUACAUUAGCAUGGAAUAAUAGAAUAGGACGUUGGUUCUAUUUUGUUGGUUUCUAGGACCGCCGUAAUGAUCAAUAGGGACGGUCGGGGGCAUCAGUAUUCAGCCGUCAGAGGUGAAAUUCUUGGACCGGCUGAAGACUAACUACUGCGAAAGCAUUUGCCAAGGACGUUUUCGCUGAUCAGGAACGAAAGUUAGGGGAUCGAAGACGAUCAGAUACCGUCGUAGUCUUAACCAUAAACUAUGCCGACUAGGGAUCGGGCGGCGUUCUUUCUA